GAUCAUGGCUCAGGAUGAACGCUGGCGGCGUGCUUAACACAUGCAAGUCGAACGAAGCGACUAUGAUUGAGAUUUCGGUUGAUUGAAUAGUUGACUUAGUGGCGGACGGGUGAGUAACGCGUGAGCAACCUGCCUAUCAGUGGGGAAUAACGUUUGGAAACGAACGCUAAUACCGCAUAAUGUACAGAGAUCGCAUGUUUUUUGUACCAAAGAUUUAUUGCUGAUAGAUGGGCUCGCGUCUGAUUAGGUAGUUGGUGAGGUAACGGCUCACCAAGCCGACGAUCAGUAGCCGGACUGAGAGGUUGAACGGCCACAUUGGAACUGAGAAACGGUCCAGACUCCUACGGGAGGCAGCAGUGGGGAAUAUUGGGCAAUGGGCGAAAGCCUGACCCAGCGACGCCGCGUGAGGGAAGACGGUCUUCGGAUUGUAAACCUCUUUCAGCAGGGAAGACAAAAGGACGGUACCUGCAGAAGAAGCCACGGCUAACUACGUG
RNAcentral lists this ribosomal RNA (494 nucleotides) under uncultured bacterium. Its description in RNAcentral is "bacterial SSU rRNA". It matches the Rfam family "Bacterial small subunit ribosomal RNA", at positions 15 to 507 of the family's 1533-position model. The record is from RNAcentral.